UUUGAUCUUCUUGUACCGAUUGCAACUAUUGUACAUGAAAAGCCAAUUUCGCACGCUGCUUCAUACAAAUUCUUCCAGCUUUAACAAAACUUCAUUGAUACGAAACUCCAAAUCCACAAUGCGGAAAAGCAGUGCAACUGUAUUCUUUGCUGCAUUAUCUAUUUCAUUGCUCCUUUACAUAAGUGUUUCCAAUACGCCGACUCCGCGAUUUAACUUUUCGGAUUCUGCAGUUAGCAAAGUUUGGAGUAAUUAUACUGCUUGGCAUGACUGCUUGAUGCAAAAUAUUUCAAAGCUUCAUGACGAUCCUAACGCGCUUUGGGGAAACCUGUGGCGUGGACUCAAAAAAUGUGAAACUAUCGACGAGAUGAAAGGAUUAUUCAUUGGUGAUUAUCCGAAUUCUGACGAGACAAAACGACAUAUUGUUCCAAAAAUGGAAUUGCCAAGUGUCAUAAUCACACUGGGAAUUGGACAUGAUACAGGAGCAGAGGAGAAACUAAAGAAAGGACUGAAACACGGAUCCGAAUUUUUUGGAGCAGACCCUAUGCAUGAAAUUAAUGAAGACCUGUUCACCAAACUCGGCGGAAAAUAUUUUCCAUUUGCAGUUGGAGCUACCCCUGGUCUUGCAGAAGCUAGUGUUUUAAUCAAUUCCACCUACACUACUAAAACGGUAGUCAACGUGGACAUUAUAUACUUCUUGAAGAAAUUGGUGAAUAGAACUUUUAUCGAUGACAUUUGGAUUGACGGAGAAGGUGCGGAAUACGGAUUGUUUGAUCAUUUCUACAAUGGUGGAGCUUUUGAUCAAAAUGGAAUAACUUUCUGUCAAUUUAACAUCGAGAUUCACCUGCCAGAUAACCUACAGAAGAAACUUUUCCACGAUUUCAUUUUUCAAUUGUUGAAAGACAAGCGAUAUGCCAUUUAUAGGCCAGUACAAGGAAGUCAUAUGCGCCUAUUUAUGCUCAACUACGCCAACGAGGAGUGUGUUUAUAAGUACAUUCUCUAG
RNAcentral lists this unclassified non-coding RNA (1000 nucleotides) under Caenorhabditis elegans. RNAcentral's name for it is "Non-coding transcript of protein-coding gene R09H10.2b". Lineage: Eukaryota; Metazoa; Nematoda; Chromadorea; Rhabditida; Rhabditidae. The record is from RNAcentral.